Molecule: transfer RNA, 77 nt
Filed under: Peptostreptococcus stomatis DSM 17678
Lineage: Bacteria; Bacillati; Bacillota; Clostridia; Peptostreptococcales; Peptostreptococcaceae
Description: tRNA-Glu
Rfam family: tRNA
About the family: Transfer RNA (tRNA) molecules are approximately 80 nucleotides in length. Their secondary structure includes four short double-helical elements and three loops (D, anti-codon, and T loops). Further hydrogen bonds mediate the characteristic L-shaped molecular structure. tRNAs have two regions of fundamental functional importance: the anti-codon, which is responsible for specific mRNA codon recognition, and the 3' end, to which the tRNAs corresponding amino acid is attached (by aminoacyl-tRNA synthetases). tRNAs cope with the degeneracy of the genetic code in two manners: having more than one tRNA (with a specific anti-codon) for a particular amino acid; and 'wobble' base-pairing, i.e. permitting non-standard base-pairing at the 3rd anti-codon position.
Source: RNAcentral
UGGCUCCUUGGUCAAGCGGUUAAGACACCGCCCUUUCACGGCGGUAACAGGGGUUCGAUUCCCCUAGGAGUCAUAAU